AUGAACGCUGGCGGCGUGGCUAAGGCAUGCAAGUCGCACGGAUCAUUAUUUGUAGCAAUACUUAGAGUGAUUAGUGGCAAACGGGUGCGUAACACAUUGGUAACCUACCUCCCAGUCGGGCACAACACCGCGAAAGCGGUGCUAAUUCCACGAUGGUCUCUUUCGAGCGAAAGCAAAGAAGAGUAAAGCGCAAAACGCGCUGGGAGAGGGGCCUAUGGCCCAUCAGCUAGUUGGUAAGGUAACGGCUUACCAAGGCUAUGACGGGUAGGGGGUGUGAGAGCACGACCCCCCUCACUGGGACUGAGACACUGCCCAGACACCUACGGGUGGCUGCAGUCGCGAAUAUUCCCCAAUGGACGCAAGUCUGAGGGAGCGACGCCGCGUGUGGGAUGACGGGUUUCGACUCGUAAACCACUUUUGUCGAGGAAGAAUUCUGACGGUACUCGAAGAAUAAGAAGUUGCUAACUCUGU
RNAcentral lists this ribosomal RNA (471 nucleotides) under uncultured bacterium. RNAcentral's name for it is "bacterial SSU rRNA". It matches the Rfam family "Bacterial small subunit ribosomal RNA", at positions 29 to 506 of the family's 1533-position model. The record is from RNAcentral.